GCCUGGGUGGCUCAGUCGGUUGAGCGUCCGACUUCGGCUCAGGUCAUGAUCUCGCGGUUCGUGGGUUCGAGCCCCGCGUCAGGCU
Molecule: transfer RNA, 85 nt
Filed under: Felis catus (domestic cat)
Lineage: Eukaryota; Metazoa; Chordata; Mammalia; Carnivora; Felidae
Also listed under: 2 other names
Rfam family: tRNA
About the family: Transfer RNA (tRNA) molecules are approximately 80 nucleotides in length. Their secondary structure includes four short double-helical elements and three loops (D, anti-codon, and T loops). Further hydrogen bonds mediate the characteristic L-shaped molecular structure. tRNAs have two regions of fundamental functional importance: the anti-codon, which is responsible for specific mRNA codon recognition, and the 3' end, to which the tRNAs corresponding amino acid is attached (by aminoacyl-tRNA synthetases). tRNAs cope with the degeneracy of the genetic code in two manners: having more than one tRNA (with a specific anti-codon) for a particular amino acid; and 'wobble' base-pairing, i.e. permitting non-standard base-pairing at the 3rd anti-codon position.
Source: Rfam by way of RNAcentral